RNAcentral lists this long non-coding RNA (377 nucleotides) under Homo sapiens (human). Its description in RNAcentral is "HSALNT0044777". Lineage: Eukaryota; Metazoa; Chordata; Mammalia; Primates; Hominidae. The record is from RNAcentral.
AUAAAAUUGAGCAAAAUGACCAGACCACACAGCAAAGGGAAAAAAGAUGAAACAAGUUAUUAGAUAGGGAAAACCCAGAGAACUCACAUCCUAGCACAUACUGGAAAUGCCCAGAAGAGAGAAAAUAGAACUGGGGAUGAGGAUAUUCAAAUAAACAAUUGGUCAAGGAGUCCACAGAAAGAACAGAUGUUUGAGCAAGAAGAUGAGAGAGUGUCUUUCAGAUAACAGGAGGGAAAGAAAGGACUGUUUCUUCAGAGCCCAGAGGUGAGAAUGUCUCCAGCUUUUCAAGUCACUGUGACUGCAGCUGAAUGGCCAAGGGUGAGGGGAGUUGGAUAUGAGGUGGGAGUAACCAAGUGAUCACAGAGACAUUCUGCUCA